Molecule: non-coding RNA, 71 nt
Filed under: Gemmatirosa kalamazoonensis
Lineage: Bacteria; Pseudomonadati; Gemmatimonadota; Gemmatimonadia; Gemmatimonadales; Gemmatimonadaceae
Source: RNAcentral
CCGAACACCCGUGGUCAUUUGCCGCCUAUUGCAGCCACGUUAAAGAACUGCUAAAACGCGAUCAGCCCGGC